CCUGCCGCCUCCUCCAGGGAGGCCUCCGUGCUGCCUUACCGGGCGGGGUCCCUCGGGAACCUGAAGAAGGCCAGCCUCCCUGGACUCUGCCUUGGUUCGACGCCCGGGAAGCUGGAGGAGAGGCGUCCGUCUCUGCACACGAUGUUGCCAACUUGCCCGAUGUCGCGUUGCCCGAUGGAUGGUGUCGGCCCCGGCCACGUGGCCUGGGGGGAAACCACAGCAACUUCUCCACGGAUCCGCAGUCAUGAUGAUGGCAGUGGAGAAAAGGAAGACUUUCCUGUGCCGCUUCAACACAAUUACGAAGACGCCGCAUGAACUAAGAAGGUUAUCCAAGUCCCAGGCUGUCCAUUGACGGGUCUUUCAGCAGAGGCAGAUCGCUUCAUUUUCUGGAUUGAAAACAUUCUGGCUUUAUUGCCGCUAAUAGAUAUUUGAGCAGUUGAAACGGGUUACAAGUGAAGCAAAGAUGAAAA
Tachyglossus aculeatus (Australian echidna) is the source of this 470-nucleotide long non-coding RNA. RefSeq lists it as uncharacterized. The transcript is spliced from 3 exons. The record is from RefSeq and is a predicted model, not a curated record. Lineage: Eukaryota; Metazoa; Chordata; Mammalia; Monotremata; Tachyglossidae.